This 107-nucleotide small nuclear RNA is filed under the name Chinchilla lanigera (long-tailed chinchilla). Lineage: Eukaryota; Metazoa; Chordata; Mammalia; Rodentia; Chinchillidae. The record is from RNAcentral.
GCGCUCACUUCAGCAGCACAUAUAAUAAAAUUUGAGCGAUACAGAGAAGAUUAGCAUGGCCCCUGCGCAAGGAUGACACCCAAAUUCAUGAAGUGUUCCACUAAAAA